UGACACACAGGCUGGCAGGCAGGCAACUGCAAUUACAUUACACAGAAAAAAAAAAAGCAGACUGAUGUUACAGCAGAGAUCAGAUGAGUCCUUCAGGACUGUAGUGGACACUGAAUACACUAGCCUAGCUAUCAAUUUCCCUAUCAAAUCAGCAGCAGCUGAUCUCUGCUGUAACAUCAGUCUGCUUUUUUUUUUCUGUGUAAUGUAAUUGCAGUUGCCUGCCUGCCAGCCUGUGUGUCA
Molecule: microRNA precursor, 240 nt
Filed under: Pelobates cultripes (western spadefoot toad)
Lineage: Eukaryota; Metazoa; Chordata; Amphibia; Anura; Pelobatidae
Source: RNAcentral